GACGAACCGUGCGAACGUUGUUCGGAUUCACUGGGCUUAAAGGGCGCGUAGGCGGGGGGUCAAGUCUGAGGUGAAAUCUUUCGGCUCAACCGGAAAAGUGCCUCGGAUACUGACUCCCUCGAGGGGGGUAGGGGCAUGUGGAACUUCCGGUGGAGCGGUGAAAUGCGUAGAUAUCGGAAGGAACGCCGGUGGCGAAAGCGACGUGCUGGACCCCUUCUGACGCUGAGGAGCGAAAGCGUGGGGAGCGAACAGG
This 253-nucleotide ribosomal RNA is filed under the name uncultured bacterium. Its description in RNAcentral is "partial 16S ribosomal RNA". It matches the Rfam family "Bacterial small subunit ribosomal RNA", at positions 524 to 776 of the family's 1533-position model. The record is from RNAcentral.